ACGGCUCAGUAACACGUGGACAAUCUAACCUACGGAGGGGGAUAACCCCGGGAAACUGGGGAUAAUACCCCAUAGACUAUGAAUGCUGGAAUGCUUUGUAGUCGAAAGGUCCGCCGCCGUAGGAUGGGUCUGCGGCCGAUUAGGUUGUUGUUGGGGUAACGGCCCAACAAGCCUGUAAUCGGUACGGGUUGUGGGAGCAAGAGCCCGGAGAUGGAUUCUGAGACACGAAUCCAGGCCCUACGGGGCGCAGCAGGCGCGAAAACUUUGCAAUGCGGGAAACCGUGACAGGGGAACUCCGAGUGCCCGUUAAAUCGGGCUGUCCAUCGGUUUAAAUAACCGGUGAAGAAAGGGCCGGGCAAGACCGGUGCCAGCCGCCGCGGUAAUACCGGCGGCUCGAGUGGUGGCCACUAUUACUGGGCUUAAAGCGUUCGUAGCUGGUUUGUUAAGUCUCUGGGGAAAUCUUCCGGCUUAACCGGAAGGCGUCUCAGGGAUACUGGCAGACUAGGGACCGGGAGAGGUGAGGGGUACUCCAGGGGUAGGAGUGAAAUCCUGUAAUCCUUGGGGGACCACCUGUGGCGAAGGCGCCUCACCAGAACGGCUCCGACAGUGAGGGACGAAAGCUGGGGGAGCAAACCGGAUUAGAUACCCGGGUAGUCCCAGCUGUAAACGAUGCGCGUUAGGUGUAUCGGUGACCACGAGUCACCGAGGUGCCGAAGAGAAAUCGUGAAACGUGCCGCCUGGGAAGUACGGUCGCAAGGCUGAAACUUAAAGGAAUUGGCGGGGGAG
RNAcentral lists this ribosomal RNA (786 nucleotides) under uncultured archaeon. RNAcentral's name for it is "bacterial SSU rRNA". It matches the Rfam family "Archaeal small subunit ribosomal RNA", at positions 85 to 876 of the family's 1478-position model. The record is from RNAcentral.